This is a long non-coding RNA of Anolis carolinensis (green anole), 8145 nucleotides long. RefSeq lists it as uncharacterized. The transcript has 2 exons. NCBI's taxonomy places the organism in Eukaryota, Metazoa, Chordata, Lepidosauria, Squamata, Anolidae. The record is from RefSeq and is a predicted model, not a curated record.
CACCAUCCUGAACCUUUGGGCUCCAGGCAAAUUGGGGCUCAUCCCCGGGUAGUCUCAGGACUAAGCGGAAGUAAGUCUCCACAGAUCCAGUACCCGAUUAGACCCAGGCCUUUCGGGAAGGCCCGGAUUUAAUGGGGUAUUUAAUUAAUUCAGGAUAACUGAGUUUAUUCCAAAUUAAUUCAUUUUUACUGAAGGUAUCAUUUGGAUGCCUUUUGUAAAAACCCAGUCAGAUUCUGUGUUUUGAGCCGGUCUGGGUCCUUAGACCUCUUCUAUACUGCCAUAUAUUCCAGGAUUUGAUCCCAGAUUAUCAUCUCAUCCCAGAUUAUACGACAGUGGAGACUCAUAUAAUCCAGUUCAAAGCAGAUAACCUAGGAUGAAAUGGUGGAAUAUAAUAUUAUUUGAAGGGGUCUAAGGUCCCUUCCAUAUUGCCUCUGUAUCCCACGAUCUGAUCCAAGAUUAUCUUCUUAUUCCAGCUUAUCUGGCAGUGGAGACUCAGUUUAAAGCAGAUAAUCUGAGAUCAUAUCCUUGGAUAAAGGGCAGUGUAGAAGGGACCAAAGUAACCCUCCUAGUCUGGAUCUACGCUGCCAUAUAAUCCAAAUAAAGCAGAUAAUCUGGAGUUUAUAUGGCAGUGUAGAUGGGGUCCAAACUACAAAUCCUAUAAUUCCAUAGCAUGAUGCUAUGACUGCCACAAUGGUAUCAAAUUUACAUAACUGUAUAAUGUCAAUACACUUUCAAUUUACAUCGAUAAUUCUUUUCUUCUUCUUUUGGCACCCUUCCCCAAAUUACUGAAGAACACAUUGAUUGAUUGAUUGAUUGAUUGACUGAUUCCUCACUCACUCCUCCUAGGUUGGAACAGAAGAUAGCAGUAUUUUUGUGCUUCUCAAACUCUUUUUUUCCAUGCAAGAAAAUAAACCCUUUUCAGUUCAGCUUUAAUCUUUGAAUAUUAAACAGAUAUACUUCUGAGUUUAGGAGCUGGAAUUUAGCCUCGUAGAAUAUUUAGUUUGGGGCUUUUUCAUGUCUCCUAGCUGCCAUAGCCUAAUCUUAAUCUUACUGCCUAUUUCAUUAAAACCAAAAUAUCCUCUCUUUUUUCCUAGGGCUUUGAAAGGUCUUUGAUAUAUGGUUCAUGAAUUCUUGUUUUGUUUUGAAUUCCACUACCUUGUUCCAGUGACUAACAUUAAUUUAUCAGCACGCCAACAGGGCAGCACUUACAAUCUUCAGAUGAUGAAUUUAAAAAAUGAACAUCACUUUCUGUAGAAAAUCUUUCAUCUUCUUUUGCUCUGUCAAGGAUUACCAAUUUAUCAUGGACAUUUCAAGCCACUUUGGUGAGAAGUCAGAGCCUGCUGAGAUUACUGAUCUCAUUAAUGUCUCUUUUCUAUUUAUAUCUCUUUUAAAAAAGGGGAAAGGGAAAAGUAUGCUCCUCAUGACUCAUGAGCUCUGUCAUUGUUUCUCUUGUUAUAUAUGAUACCACUGUGUAUAGGCAACUUUGAAAAAGUUGAGAAUAACUGUAAAAUAAUUGUGUGCUAACAACAAGUUGUAAGGACCAAUUAAUUUAGAAAGUGACAAAAAAAACAUCUGUUUUCCAUUAACACAUAAUGAUGAAUCCAAUAGCUCACAACUGCAAUUAAAGUAGGGAGUUGUCCUAUAUGACUUUUGGGUCUCUUCCAAUCCUCCAAUUAUUUUAUUCCAAAAGAAAUGUUAAAUAUAUAAUGGCUGGGUGCACAAACAUGGGACUUUAUCACAAAGAGGUGGCAAGCUGGCACAGUAGCAGAAGUCAUCUUUGCUGACGGUCCUCAUCACGUGAGAUUGUGUGAUACCUGUUACUGGUAUGCCAUUUCCCCAUAAUGAAGCUGUCAGGGGCUAUUAAAGGGCAAAGCCCAUGAAUAGCUCCUGAUCAUGCCACAGUCCAGGGACUUACCUCUGUGAGAUAAAAGCCUGAGAUCCUUCAGCUUCUAUGGUGGCAUCCAUUGCUCUCCCCUGAGGAAUUGUUUGUUUAAAAAAUCUUCCCUACAGUAAUGCUUGUAGUGAAAAUAAAAUAAAAGAAAUACAAAGGCAGAAAGCAGCACAGUGGGAUGAUGGAAUUAUUCUGAUCACCGAGAUGUGGAGCUUUUGCACAGCCAAGAUGCCGCAAAUGCAUGAUGUCAGCAGCUGUCUAAUAUUGUCAUCACUGGCCACCACUAUCAAAAGAAUUAGGCUCAAUACCACUGGAUAGUCAGGAAUCCCUCCUGCAUCCACAGCAGUUGAGGGGUGUGGCAAUCUAAACCAUUCUGGAUCAAUACCAGGAUAGCUGGUCAGUGUAGAACCACCUUUGCACUCACCUUCCCAGUAGGCGGAAGCAAAAGCAACUGCCGCACCCUCUCCUAGCACGUGUGUUUGCUUCAUUAAUAGCUUUUGCUAUCUUGACCAUAUUUUGAUGUUGUUUUCGUACACAUGUCCUGGUUUUUCACAUUUGAAAAGUUUAGGGAUGUGCGGAAAAAGGACCAAACUUGACAAGAUUAAAAAUGUUGUUGACCACUACCUUACUGAGUAUACAGCAGAGAUGGUGGCAUUCCAUUUUUCAGCUGAAUCUCUUAACUACUGUACUCCACUUGCAGAAUGAAAAGAGCCUUUUGCUUCUCAUGUGAAUCAUUCACACAAGUUUAUCAACUUAACAAGAGAGAACGAAAGCUCCUUUUCUCCCUUCUGCACACUCUUACCUUGCCAAUAAUCAUCCAUUUGAAAAGAUUUAGUUGGAGACACACAGCUAUUCUCUCUGCUCUUAAUGUCAGUCCAUGUCAGUCCUCCAGAUGUUUUCUAGGAGCAUUAUUUCAACAUAAUUUCUAUUACGCAAAAUGUGUUUUGCAUGUUUCCCCAUCAAAGAGAGUGGGAGACUCUCAACAAUAGUGCCUCCAAGUUUUCAAUUUGCAUUUUCAUUGCACCUAGGAAAGCUGCUCUAUGAGAGAACAUUGACUUUUGCAGAUAAAAAUAAACCGAAAGAGCUUUAAUGCUCUGGCACCAUGCCAACAUUUCAUCAUUUCAUUCUCCGAGACGCUUAUGGGCUAUAACUCAAAUUUAAUGAUCUGAUUCAUUGGAAUGAUAAAGACCCUAGCAUUGGGUUAGGUCCCCCCCUAUUUUUUGUCAAAAGAAAAUGUAUUUGCUUCUACUGAAGUAGCCUCACCUACCAAGCUGCUAGUCCCUGACAGAUUGCAGUCACCAAAGAAAGUGUCUGAGGCACCUGAAGAGUUAGCACAUUUGUGAAGAUAUGCACUUGAGAGUCAGCAUGGUGUAGUGGUUUCAGUGCUGGAUUGAAAGCCUACUCAGUCAUAGAAACCCACUGGAUGACUUUGGGCAAGUCACCUUCUGUCAGCAUCAGCAGAUACCAAAGGCAAAUCUCCUCUGAGUAAAUAUUGCCAAGAAAUCCCGUAUAUUUGUGCCUUAGGGUAACCAUAAUUUGAAAACAAAUUGAAGGCAAAUAGGAACAAACAUUUUAAUUACUAUCAAGCCUAGUCUCUAACAGAAAAUAGUUGAGAGACCUUUUAUUUAGUAGGAGACAUUAACAUUGCCACCAUAUUGGUGCCACUGAGCAUAGAAUUAUGUGGAAUUUUGGGGUUUGUAGUUUGUUGAGGCACUAUAGCUCUCUGACUGAGAAUUCUAUACUUACCUCUCUCAUCUGCAGAUCCCAGGAUCCCAUAGGAUGGAGCCAGAGCAGUUACAGUGGAAUCAUUGUGCUAUAAUUGUGCAGUGAGGGAGGGCUCCAGAUGCUAUUGAGCUGCAACUGUGGGCAUUCCAUGUCAUUGACAUUGCUAAAUGAAGCUGAAAGGGGUAGAUUUUCAGCAGCAUCUGGAGGACUUUGCUUUGCCCAUUGCAGUCAAUUUCCCACUUUUAGAUGUGCACUUGAGCAUCAUGGUCUAGAGCAGUGGUUCUCAACCUGUAGGUCCCCAGGUGUUUUGGCCUACAACUCCCAGCCAGUUUACCAACUGUUAGGAUUUCUGGGAGUAGAAGGCCAAAACAUCUGGGGACCCACAGGUUGAGAACCACUGGUCUAGAGCUUCACUAUGAAGAGGCAUAUUUGUAACUUGCUUGCUCACUUCCUUCCCCCCUUAAACUGUUAUCUGCAGAAUUCUCCAUUGAGGUCGACCACUGAUUAAAUUGAUCUUAACCCUUCAAAUAAAAAUAAGAUGUAGGGCUUCCCAAAUAUGUCAAGUUGAAGGACAGCCAGAUUUUUUAUGGAGCACCAUGUCUUUAUCAAGUUAUGUCACCUGCAUAGUCCUUUAACUGCACAUUUAUGGAGCAACCACAUCUGGACUUCAUCAUAUUGAUUGCCCCCUCCCUCUGUCUUGUUCUGUUCUGCUGGCAAUUAACCGCAAUACUGAUGACACACAUGGCGCCUCACAGUGACCCAUGCACCCUCCACCAUCACAUGGGGGCAUUGAGGCAAGGCACAUUGGCUCUCUGUCCCUUCCCCCACCAGGCACGAAAAACUGUGGGAAUGUGCAUUGCCACAUUGCUGUUUCCCCCAUCAGAUGGGGGGUAAGGCUGAAAACAGUGGGUAGCCCUAUUGGAGCCACCCCAAACUCAAUUCACUUACCAUGGUUGGCGAAGAAAUGUCUUGCAAUGCUUUCUCACCACUUCACCUAUCAAUUGAGUGGGACCAUGGCUUGCAUCAUGUAAUGGCACUUGGCAGGAUCCGUGGCCGAAGAGGAGUAAGGGGCCAAUCAACCCUUGUGUAAUGAGGUGUUAACGACUUAGACGAAGGGUUAGAAGGCACGAUCAUCAAGUUUGCAGAUGACACCAAACUGGGAGGGAUAGCCAACACUCCAGAAGAAAGGAGCAGAAUUCAAAACGAUCUUGACAGACUAGAGAGAUGGGCCGAAACUAACAAAAUGAAGUUCAACAGGGAUAAAUGCAAGAUAUUUCAUUUCGGCAGAAAAAAUGGAAUGCAAAGAUACAGAAUGGGGGACACCUGGCUAGACAGCAGUACAUGUGAAAAAGAUCUUGGAGUCCUUGUGGACAACAAAUUAAACAUGAGCCAGCAAUGUGAUGCGGCUGCUAAGAAAGCCAAUGGGAUUUUGGCUUGCAUCAAUAGGGGUAUAGCAUCUAGAUCCAGGGAAGUCAUGCUACCCCUCUAUUCUGCCUUGGUCAGACCACACCUGGAAUACUGUGUCCAAUUCUGGGCACCACAGUUGAAGGGAGAUGUUGACAAGCUGGAAUGUGUCCAGAGGAGGGCAACUAAAAUGAUCAAAGGUCUGGAGAACAAGCCCUAUGAGGAGAGGCUUAAAGAACUGGGCAUGUUUAGCCUGCAGAAGAGAAGGCUAAGAGGAGACAUGAUAGCCAUGUACAAAUACGUGAGGGGAAGUCAUAGGGAGGAGGGAGCAAGCUUGUUUUCUGCUGCCCUGCAGACUAGGACACGGAACAAUGGCUUCAAACUACAGGAAGGGAAAUUCCACCUGAACAUCAGGAAGAACUUCCUCACUGUGAGAGCUGUUCGGCAGUGGAAUUCUCUCCCUCGGACUGUGGUAGAGGCUCCUUCUUUGGAGGCUUUUAAGCAGAGGCUGGAUGGCCUUCUGUCGGGGGUGCUUUGAAUGCGAUUUCCUGCUUCUUGGCAGGGGGUUGGAAUGGAUGGCCCAUGAGGUCUCUUCCAACUCUACUAUUCUAUGAUUCUAUGAGGUAGGAGCCCCCAGAUGGCAUAGUGGACUAAGUGACUUGAAGGUUGGGUUGCUGACCUGAAAGCUGCCAGGUCCGAAUCCCACCUGGGGAGAGUGUGGAUGAGCUCCCUCUAUCAGCUCCAGCUCCAUGCGGGGACAUGAGAGAAGCCUCCCACAAGGAUGGUAAAAACAUCAAAACAUCCGGGCAUCCCCUGGGCAACGUCCUUGCAGACGGCCAAUUAUCUCACUCCAGAAGCAACUCCGGUUGCUCCUGACACGAAAAAAAAAAAAAAUUCUAUGAGGUGGUAGUCUCACUCUUUAGCUUCCCAAGUCUAAGGGAGAGAGACAUUGUAUAUACAGCAGUACACACAAUGGGUCCCACCUUUAAUCAUUUAGUCUACAGAAGAAAAUUCAACCCUCUCUUCCUCACACUACUAUCUAUUGCAUUUUGAAUUGCUAUUUUGAUGAGCAUGCUAGGUAACAUAAAGUGUGGAGGAAAUUCCCAAGCAGAGAAAGUGUGUUCUUCUCUGUUCUUCCUCAUUAAACUGAUGCAAGAUCCUGGUGAUUUUUUCCAGUCUGACUCCUCUCCCUUCAUUAUUCUCAUACAGGAGAAUGUGUUUCUGUGAAAUCAGUCUGUUCAUCAUGUUUGCCUGUUACAUUUUUCUUCCAUGUUUAUUUAUUCUUUGGGAAAGAGUGGUUUGAAAGAUGUUGAUAGAUUUCUUUAGAGAGAAUCAGCCAUUCAAGGAAGAAUGCUUGAUGAACUAGGUAUCUGUUUAAGAUUCAAAAGUCAACUUCAUUUUUAUUGUUCAAAUAUUGACUCUAUCCAGAGGAAUUCUAAUCAGCAGGUUCCAUGCAAAGAAAAGGUAUUGAUUAGAGACAUGCAUUAAAAAUCAAACGUCUUACAUAUGUUUAUUACAUUGCUCAACAAAUUGUUGAACUAUGACUCUGGGGAUCAGGGUUUGAAUCUCUGCUUGGUCAUGAAAAUCAAAUGAGUUACCCUGAAUAAUUCAGUCACUCUUAGCUCUAGAAAACUCAAUGACAUUCAUCAAAGUGAUGCUGUAAGUUGGAAAUUACUUGAAGGCAAACAGCAAUAAAAAUGACAACAGAAGGCGUUUGUGAGAUCUUCUAGAUGUUGUCCUGCAAGUCUCAUGUGACUUAGCCAGUAGAGACAAUAAUGAAGGAUUGUGUAACAACUUUGGGAGGGCUACAUAUUUUUAAGCCCUGCAUAUACAAUUUGCAGGCAAAAUGAGUAUACCUGCAUGAUUAUGCGGGAUUUCAAACUGGAAAAAGAUAUCAGGACUAACCCACUAUAAGGAAAAUAACAUUCAUAGCUAUUUUAUUCUUUUCUGUUAUGAUAUCCUUGAUGACUUAUGGAUUAACCUACAUUACAGCAUUUUUCAAAUAGCUGGGGAGUGCAUUCACUCCACUGAGGCAGUCCACAUCUCCUGUUAUGGUUGAGCCUUAUGGCUCCAAUACUGGGAGACGUGGUCGUAAGACUCCUCGAGAGUCAGACUCUAUUGAGGAGCGAGAGGGGAAACGGCUGCGGGACAUAUUUGCAGAAUCAACUGACGAAGACUCCUUUGAGGGUUUUACUGAGAGAAUGGAGGAAGAGGUGGUUAGCUCAGAGGAGGAUGACAUGGAAUGGACUCGUGUGAGGGAGGAUUUGGGUGUUCCUGGUAAUGAUAGCAUGGGAAGCGACUGGCGGGUUGCAGGAUCGGACCCGUGGACGAGUUGGAGGGAUGGGACGGGAUCCACAGCUGGGGAUGCUGUGGGGCAUAGUCAAAGAUGUUUUAGCUCUGAUGAGGAUGAUGAUGAUGAGGCACCUGGAAUUAGGGUAACACCUGAUAGCGAUGAGGAGUUGUAACUGGCAUAAAAUGGGGUCUUGAAUCCAGGGCUAAUUGCGUUGGGCAAGGUAAUCUGGACGAACACUUGGGCUCUUGUUGGGAAUUUCCUGAAGACGGGUGUGUUUCGUUUGCUGACUACCUUGGACCUCCGUCGUCUUCUUGACGGACAUUAUUUACCUACUCGGAAUUGACGCUGGACUGGCUGACUGACUGACUGACUGACUGACUGACUGGCUGACUACGACCUUGGACUACCCUCUCUUUGGCUAUCGGAGGAUUUCGUGGAACCUAAGACGCCUGCACCUGGCCUUCGACCUCGGACCGGAUUGGGACCCCGCUGACCGCUGCAACCCUGAUUGAUGUGUUUGGACCCGGAGUUCGCCCGCUGCACGGAGGAGUAACAACUUAGUUGCUCAACCACAGCUGUUGAGUAGCAGAGAGGAAUCUGCUGCCAGUAUUUAUGUUCUAUUGAAUCUUUAUUUACCAGCUUUUGUUUGUUUAAAGUCCCAGGCUGAAGUAAGCAUUUUUGGUUUAACCCGGAUUAAACUCCUGUUUAAUCCGGUUUAGCUUUUGAACCGUUUUUGAGUGACUUUUCAUAUUGAAGGCGAGUGUUUGCCUAGCUCUUUGUUUUUUACGAGCAUUUUUGGUUCUGUAUCUUUAAUAAACUGUGUUGAAUCUUA